AUACGUAGGGUGCAAGCGUUAAUCGGAAUUACUGGGCGUAAAGCGUGCGCAGGCGGUUUUGUAAGACAGAGGGGAAAUCCCCGGGCUCAACCUGGGAACUGCCUUUGUGACUGCAAGGCUAGAGUACGGCAGAGGGGGAUGGAAUUCCGCGUGUAGCAGUGAAAUGCGUAGAUAUGCGGAGGAACACCGAUGGCGAAGGCAAUCCCCUGGGCCUGUAGUGACGCUCAUGCACGAAAGCGUGGUGAGCAAACAGGAUUAGAUACCCUGGUAGUCCGCGCCCUAAACGAUGUCAACUGGUUGUUGGGUCUUCAUUGACUCAGUAACGAAGCGAACGCGUGAAGUUGACCGCCUGGGGAGUACGGCCGCAAGGUUGAAACUCAAAUGAAUUGGCGGGG
RNAcentral lists this ribosomal RNA (395 nucleotides) under uncultured bacterium. RNAcentral's name for it is "partial 16S ribosomal RNA". It matches the Rfam family "Bacterial small subunit ribosomal RNA", at positions 523 to 918 of the family's 1533-position model. The record is from RNAcentral.